Electrophorus electricus (electric eel) is the source of this 633-nucleotide long non-coding RNA. RefSeq lists it as uncharacterized. NCBI's taxonomy places the organism in Eukaryota, Metazoa, Chordata, Actinopteri, Gymnotiformes, Gymnotidae. The record is from RefSeq and is a predicted model, not a curated record.
AUCAGUUGACUCCGUCUGCACCGUCGCGGCGCUGCAAGGCUUUGGGGAGGUUGGCUCCCUUUUUCUAGACAGUUGGUUGAGAAGGUGAAAGAUGUGGACGUGGCCUGGGCUUUAAUGGCAGGUGAAGCUUUUCUUAUUACAGGAUCCUAACCAAACCACAAUUCCCAACUCACUGGAUUGAGAGCAACUUGACCAAUCAGGCUUAGAUUAAAGAAUGCAAACCUGAGGACUGGAUUGCAGACUGUGGCAUGUAUAUGAAGCCACAGUCCAGAACAUUCCACAAAUCACCUCACAAGUUGUGAAGCAUUUCAUCUUUCACAGAUAUGCAACCAUGGUGGAACAGUUUAAACAAGGGAUCAACUCCUGUGGCAGACUGGAAAAAUGUGGAGAGGUACUAUAAAGCAUUUCAGUGUCUGUUUACAUAUAGAGAAGGACAAUUCACCGGAUUAGCCCCUCAUCAUCUACCAAUGUUGCUGAUGGAGAAUUCUUACAUGCUGUUCAAGAUCCUCAUCACUGAUGGGAGUAAAUCUUUGCCUUAUUGAAAUGCUCAGAGAUCAGAAUUUUCUGUAGAUGAAAGAUGUUGAGGUUUCACCCUAAAUCCUUUGUUCACUAAGAGUUCCAGUUGACACACCA